This 253-nucleotide ribosomal RNA is filed under the name uncultured bacterium. Its description in RNAcentral is "partial 16S ribosomal RNA". It matches the Rfam family "Bacterial small subunit ribosomal RNA", at positions 524 to 776 of the family's 1533-position model. The record is from RNAcentral.
UACGUAGGGUGCAAGCGUUGUCCGGAAUUAUUGGGCGUAAAGAGCUCGUAGGUGGUCUAUCACGUCGGAUGUGAAGCCCUGAGGCUCAACCUCAGGCCUGCAUUCGAUACGGGCAGACUAGAGUGUGGUAGGGGAGACUGGAAUUCCUGGUGUAGCGGUGAACUGCGCAGAUAUCAGGAGGAACACCGGUGGCGAAGGCGGGUCUCUGGGCCAUUACUGACACUUAGGAGCGAAAGCGUGGGGGGCAAACAGG